UUCAUCUUCGGUACUGCCUACUGAUAAAGCUCUUUGGCAUCCAUGGCAACGGAUGUACUGUGUGCUUGGUGUCACAGACGAUCUUUCUCGGCAGUACUUGCAUAUGAGACUGUCCAUUCAGCUUAUUGGUAUCUGUAUUUGAUUUAAUGUUGCUGCUGAUGCCAAAUGAGUUGUGAAGUCAAACAGGAGCUGAGCUUUCAAAUAGUAGCAGAAAAAAUUAAACGUACACCGAAGAAAAAUACAGCCUUCUCUUUCAAGACAAUUAAGUUUGCGGAUUCCCUUUUCUGAUUCCGUUAUACCAUUCCGGGGAAACUUUACAUGCAUUUUCCAUGCAGCUGUGGAGGAUAAGUCGUGAUCCUCCCAACGAGAUUCUUUCCACAUUUUGAUGCUCCUCUAAUUUUAGCUGAUGGAAAAGUACGCGGUAGAAUUUCGAAUAAGAUUGAGGGUGAAAUGGAAACAGGUGAAAAUUCAAUUCCACGGUUUAUUACUUUGGAAAACAGAAUGUUAUCAUCAUCUGUUUUACGAUUGGUGGAUAUUUUUGUCUCUUUUUUGGUAUGUGAUUCUCAACAAUCAAAUUGCAAAUUGAUUAAUAUUUAGUAUCUUGAGUUGUCAGCAUUUUUUCAUUGUUAUCAUAGGAUAAGACUAUUAUGGGC
Long non-coding RNA from Sesamum indicum (sesame), 653 nucleotides. RefSeq lists it as uncharacterized. The record is from RefSeq and is a predicted model, not a curated record. Lineage: Eukaryota; Viridiplantae; Streptophyta; Magnoliopsida; Lamiales; Pedaliaceae.